This 505-nucleotide ribosomal RNA is filed under the name uncultured bacterium. RNAcentral describes it as "partial 16S ribosomal RNA". It matches the Rfam family "Bacterial small subunit ribosomal RNA", at positions 28 to 507 of the family's 1533-position model. The record is from RNAcentral.
GACGAACGCUGGCGGCGUGCCUAAUACAUGCAAGUAGAACGCACAGUUUAUACCGUAGCUUGCUACACCAUAGACUGUGAGUUGCGAACGGGUGAGUAACGCGUAGGUAACCUGUCUGGUAGCGGGGGAUAACUAUUGGAAACGAUAGCUAAUACCGCAUAAUAUUAAUUAUUGCAUGAUAAUUAAUUGAAAGGUGCAAUUGCACCACUACCAGAUGGACCUGCGUUGUAUUAGCUAGUAGGUGAGGUAACGGCUCACCUAAGCGACGAUACAUAGCCGACCCGGGGAGGAGGUUGGCCACACUGGGACUGGAGACACGCCCAAGCCUCUACGGGAGGGAGCAGUAGGGGAACUUCGGCCAUGGGCGGAAGGCCGACCGCGGAACGCCCGGGGGGUGAAGGAGGGUCUCGGGUCGGAAAGCUCGGUUGUUAGGGAAGGAAGGGCGUGAGAGUGGAAAGUUCACACUGUGACGGUACCUAACCAGAAAGGAACGGCUAACUACGUG